GCCGCCGCGCCCACCGCCUCCACCAGCGGUGGAGACCAAGAGCCACCGCCACCACUAACAGACACCGAGAUCGUAAACCUGGCCCAUCAAGGUAACCUCCAUGAUUACCUUUUCUCUGCAUCUUCCCACGCUACUCUCCUCUCCCACCUUCACACCCGCUCUCGUUCUCCCACUCCGUCCAUCGCCGUCUCCGAGUACACUCUCUCUCUGCUGUCCCUAAUUUCCCUCUCUCCACACCACCCUUCCCUAUCUUCCCUCCUAUCCUCUCUCCUCUCUGCGUACACCCGCCUCUUCCUUUCUUUCCAA
This 306-nucleotide unclassified non-coding RNA is filed under the name Hevea brasiliensis (rubber tree). Lineage: Eukaryota; Viridiplantae; Streptophyta; Magnoliopsida; Malpighiales; Euphorbiaceae. The record is from RNAcentral.